Molecule: ribosomal RNA, 253 nt
Filed under: uncultured bacterium
Lineage: Bacteria
Description: partial 16S ribosomal RNA
Rfam family: Bacterial small subunit ribosomal RNA
Source: RNAcentral
UACGUAGGGUGCGAGCGUUAAUCGGAAUUACUGGGCGUAAAGGGCGUGUAGGCGGGAAUGUAAGUCAGACGUGAAAUUCCGAGGCUCAACCUCGGAGCUGCCUCUGAAACUACAUUCCUAGAGGAAGGGCGGAGAAAACGGAAUUCCACAUGUAGCGGUGAAAUGCGUAGAUAUGUGGAGGAACACCUGUGGCGAAAGCGGUUUUCUAGCUUAUUCCUGACGCUGAGGCGCGAAGGCAAGGGGAGCAAACAGG